ACGCAAUAGAUACCCGGGUAGUCCACGCCCUAAACGAUGUCUACUAGUUGUCGGGUCUUAAUUGACUUGGUAAACGCAGCUAAACGCGUGAAGUAGACCGCCUGGGGAGUACGGUCGCAAGAUUAAAACUCAAAGGAAUUGACGGGGACCCGCACAAGCGGUGGAUGAUGUGGAUUAAUUCGAUGCAACGCGAAAAACCUUACCUACCCUUGACAUGGAUGGAAUCCUUGAGAGAUUGAGGAGUGCCCGAAAGGGAACCAUUACACAGGUGCUGCAUGGCUGUCGUCAGCUCGUGUCGUGAGAUGUUGGGUUAAGUCCCGCAACGAGCGCAACCCUUGUCAUUAGUUGCUACGAAAGGGCACUCUAAUGAGACUGCCGGUGACAAACCGGAGGAAGGUGGGGAUGACGUCAAGUCCUCAUGGCCCUUAUGGGUAGGGCUUCACACGUCAUACAAUGGUACAUACAGAGGGCCGCCAACCCGCGAGGGGAGCUAAUCCCAGAAAGUGUAUCGUAGUCCGGAUUGUAGUCUGCAACUCG
RNAcentral lists this ribosomal RNA (537 nucleotides) under uncultured bacterium. RNAcentral describes it as "bacterial SSU rRNA". It matches the Rfam family "Bacterial small subunit ribosomal RNA", at positions 773 to 1314 of the family's 1533-position model. The record is from RNAcentral.